This is a small nuclear RNA of Octopus sinensis (East Asian common octopus), 188 nucleotides long. RefSeq annotates it as U2 spliceosomal RNA. NCBI's taxonomy places the organism in Eukaryota, Metazoa, Mollusca, Cephalopoda, Octopoda, Octopodidae. The record is from RefSeq and is a predicted model, not a curated record. The transcript has a single exon.
AUCUCUUCAGUUAUCCAACCAUCAGAUGUAGCAUCUGUUCUUAUUAGCUUAAUAUCUGAUACGGUCCCUAUUUGGGACCAUCGAUAUUAAACUGAUUUUUAGAAUGAGGCGAAGAGUUAGGGGCUUGCUCUGCCUUUGCUAUGGGUUGGCCUGGUAUAGCAGUACUUCCAGGAUUCCGCCCACCAUAA